AGCUCCGCUAGCGUAUACUAAUGUUGUUGCAGUUAAAAAGCUCGUAGUUGGAUUUCUGUGAUGGGCAGCCGGCCGGCUCUUCGGAGUUGUAGCUAGGUUUGUUUGUCGCAUCUUGCAGUAAUUGUCUCUGGCAUUAAUUUGUUGGAGUACAGGACCUGCUCGUUUACUUUGAGAAAAUUAGAGUGUUCAAAGCGGGCUAUCGCCUUGAAUAUAUUAGCAUGGAAUAAUGAUAUAGGACUUUGGUCUUAUUUUGUUGGUUGUUCGAGGACCGAAGUAAUGAUUGAUAGGGACGGUUGGGGGCAUCAGUAUUCUGAAGCGAGAGGUGAAAUUCUUGGACCUUCGGAAGACUAACAACUGCGAAAGCAUUUGCCUAGGACGUUCUCU
This 384-nucleotide ribosomal RNA is filed under the name uncultured eukaryote. RNAcentral describes it as "SSU rRNA". It matches the Rfam family "Eukaryotic small subunit ribosomal RNA", at positions 587 to 972 of the family's 1831-position model. The record is from RNAcentral.